RNAcentral lists this ribosomal RNA (465 nucleotides) under Vreelandella stevensii. RNAcentral describes it as "partial 16S ribosomal RNA". It matches the Rfam family "Bacterial small subunit ribosomal RNA", at positions 338 to 795 of the family's 1533-position model. Lineage: Bacteria; Pseudomonadati; Pseudomonadota; Gammaproteobacteria; Oceanospirillales; Halomonadaceae. The record is from RNAcentral.
CCUACGGGCGGCUGCAGUGGGGAAUAUUGGACAAUGGGGGGAACCCUGAUCCAGCCAUGCCGCGUGUGUGAAGAAGGCCCUCGGGUUGGAAAGCACUUUCAGUGAGGAAGAACGCCUGGUGGUUAAUACCCAUCAGGAAAGACAUCACUCACAGAAGAAGCACCGGCUAACUCCGUGCCAGCAGCCGCGGUAAUACGGAGGGUGCGAGCGUUAAUCGGAAUUACUGGGCGUAAAGCGCGCGUAGGUGGCUUGAUAAGCCGGUUGUGAAAGCCCCGGGCUCAACCUGGGAACGGCAUCCGGAACUGUCCAGCUAGAGUGCAGGAGAGGAAGGUAGAAUUCCCGGUGUAGCGGUGAAAUGCGUAGAGAUCGGGAGGAAUACCAGUGGCGAAGGCGGCCUUCUGGACUGACACUGACACUGAGGUGCGAAAGCGUGGGUAGCAAACAGGAUUAGAUACCCGGGUAGUC